This is a long non-coding RNA of Pezoporus occidentalis (night parrot), 778 nucleotides long. RefSeq lists it as uncharacterized. Lineage: Eukaryota; Metazoa; Chordata; Aves; Psittaciformes; Psittacidae. The record is from RefSeq and is a predicted model, not a curated record. The transcript has 3 exons.
GUUUUUAAUAAUUGAUAUGAAUACUUUACAGCAGAGGAAAUGGACAGCAGGCCAUCAUUUACACACCACAUCAAUAAUGAAUGGAGUGGUGCCAAAACACAUCAAUAACAAGCUUGUUUGUUCUCUUAUGUUUGCAGUGCUCCAGCCCUAAGGAGGUAGAGCAGGGGAUCAGGCUAAGGAACCAGCAGACGGAGAAAGACCUGCUGGGGAAACACAGGGGGAUAGUGUAUUGCAAUGCUGCCCUUAGGAAGCGUCAGAGUUGGACAAAGCUCCAUAUAGUGCUGUGUAUAAGGAGCUGGAAGUGGCAUCUUGAAGAGAAGAGCACCCUGAAGAUCAGCUACUCCUGGCAUUCUGCUGUGUUCCCUGCUACUUGCAGCUUCUAACAACCGUGAGCAACUCUCCCAAGAUUCCAACGCUCAAAGAGGAGAGUUGUUACCCUGCUAUCCAGGCUGCACAGAAUGGCCAUUUUCAGGUGUAAUUCAGGGAUAGAAUAUGCUGGAGGUGAGCUACCUGGGUGUGAGUUUCCAGCUGCGUUGCACCAAACUUUCACCAAACCUCCAGCUCGGGACGUUAAGCAUUGGCGAGUUUGUGGCUCUCUCAUCUACCACCAUCAAUCCUUGCAUUCCACUGGAUUUGAUGUUACUGAAAUAAAGAGUAUAAUUUGAGAACCAGUACAUUUUAAGAAGCAUAAAUAAGAAAAGGAGAGCAAAUUUUACACUGUGACCUUUACUAUGAACUUCACUUGCUGGCUUUUUCUGCACUCCCCCAAGUGGGCAAC